AUGAGGGCACCGUAGUCUAGAACAUGAGGGCGCCAUAGUCUAGAACAUGGGGGUCCGUUGUAGUCCGGAACAUGAGGUCUCUGUAGUCUAGAACACAAGAGGGCGCUGUGGUCUGGAACAUGAGGGUGCUGUAGUCUAGAACACGAGGUCACUACAACAAAACUAGUCACUGGAGACACUUUGAACACGGGCAUUUGGAGUGGAAACGUAUUCCAAGGUUAUUGUAAGUCAUUGCAGAAGAAAACAGACCAAUUUUCCUAUGAGUAAAAUCCUGAAAAGAAAUAAAAUUCAAAGCAAACCUAAUGGAGACAUCAUGGCACGUGUGAGGACGGACGGCGAGCCAGUGCUGGCAUUCUCAAAGCCUCGCUGACCCAGGGAAGACCUGGGUUUUCAUUUCUGUUUUGAGUGAGGCAGAGAGACUCAGCUCAGACUGAACUCAUCAAGGCUGGGGUGUCAACAAGGCCAUGGUUUUGCCUGUGUCCAAAGCACCCCGGAGGCAGAAGCAGUAGGACCAGGAGCUCAAGGCCAGUCUGGCUUCAUAUGCAGAUCUUGUCUCCAUCAAUAUAAAGUCAUCAAUGCAAAUAAAUGUAUAAAGCUAUGUUGAGCUAA
Rattus norvegicus (Norway rat) is the source of this 609-nucleotide non-coding RNA. The record is from RefSeq and is a predicted model, not a curated record. Lineage: Eukaryota; Metazoa; Chordata; Mammalia; Rodentia; Muridae.